CCUACGGGAGGCUGCAGUGAGGAAUAUUGGUCAAUGGGCUAAGGCCUGAACCAGCCAAGUCGCGUGAGGGAAGACGGUCCUAUGGAUUGUAAACCUCUUUUGUCGGGGAGCAACGAGGCCACGUGUGGCCGAAGUGAGAGUACCCGAAGAAAAAGCAUCGGCUAACUCCGUGCCAGCAGCCGCGGUAAUACGGAGGAUGCGAGCGUUAUCCGGAUUUAUUGGGUUUAAAGGGUGCGUAGGCGGGCAUUUAAGCCGGCGGUCAAAUGUCGGGGCUCAACCCCGGCCUGCCGUCGGAACUGGGUGCCUUGAGUGGGCGAGAGGUAUGCGGAAUGCGUGGUGUAGCGGUGAAAUGCAUAGAUAUCACGCAGAACCCCGAUUGCGAAGGCAGCAUACCGGCGCCCUACUGACGCUGAGGCACGAAAGUGCGGGUAUCGAACAGGAUUAGAUACCCGUGUAGUC
Molecule: ribosomal RNA, 459 nt
Filed under: uncultured bacterium
Lineage: Bacteria
Description: partial 16S ribosomal RNA
Rfam family: Bacterial small subunit ribosomal RNA
Source: RNAcentral